CCCUUAGAUGUUCUGGGCUGCACGCGCGCCACACUGACGCACGCAACAGGUGCCUGCUCCGAGAGGACUGGGUAAUCAUUUGAGUGUGCGUCGUGAUGGGGAUAGAAUAUUGUAAUUAUUACUCUUCAACGAGGAAUUCCUAGUAAGCGCCAGUCAGCAGCUUGCGCUGAUUACGUCCCUGCCCUUUGUACACACCGCCCGUCGCUCCUACCGAUGGGUGAUCCGGUGAAUGAUUCGGACUUCAGCGGCUCCCCUGGGGUGCGCCGGAGAAAGUUUUGUGAACCUUAUCACUUGGAGGAAGGAGAAGUCGUAACA
Molecule: ribosomal RNA, 315 nt
Filed under: uncultured eukaryote
Lineage: Eukaryota
Description: partial 18S ribosomal RNA
Rfam family: Eukaryotic small subunit ribosomal RNA
Source: RNAcentral